This 1142-nucleotide long non-coding RNA is filed under the name Setaria viridis. RNAcentral's name for it is "long non-coding RNA (SVIR_LNC007090)". Lineage: Eukaryota; Viridiplantae; Streptophyta; Magnoliopsida; Poales; Poaceae. The record is from RNAcentral.
UUAAAAUAACUUGAUGUGUGGGAGAAUGUGAAGGAGAAAAUGGAGAGUAUUUUGAGCUAGAAUGUGAGGGAGAAUGGAGAGUAAAUGUGAGGGAGAAUGGAGAGGAUUUCAAUAUUAUGUAUGAGAAAAAAAUUAGAGUGAAUGUAUUUUUAAUAUUUAGUCAUUGCAAUAAAAGUAAGAUAAAUAAAUUGUAGGUGUGAGAAAAUAGAAUUUGGUCAUUGCUACAUGUUUUCAUGUCACUAUAAUUUAACAAUUAAUAAUUGUAUUUCUUUGACCAACAAUUUAUUUAUCUCUUGUUUAAUGCUUGAACUAAAUUAUAAAUACUAGUUUGAUUUCAUUAUAAAAAAGUGUUAACUACUAAAGGGUAACUAAAGGGGUAUGUUAUGCAUGAAAUUACAGGCGCCAAGUCCCAGUUGAAAAAGCCAACCGGGACUAAAGGGUGAUUUGUCACAGUUGAAUGACUCGGGACUAAAGACCCCCCCUUUCAUCUUGAAAACUAUAUCAAGAUGGUUUUUAGAGAGAUUUGACCCCUACCAACCGGGACUAAAGCCGAGGUUUCCAGUAGUGAUAUCAAUCUCAAAUGAUGAUUUUUCAAAAAAAGUAAUCUCAAUGGCAACAUUGGCAGGCAGAGCGCAGUUCAAUGUCAAUAGGACAGUGCAAAUUGCCAUAAAAGAUUCACAGUGGAUAGUACCGCACCCUUAGCAUGUGUUUGGUUUGGAGACAACACGGGACGGGAUUAUAAGUCCCUAUUUUUUAGGAUGGGAUCGUCCCAUCUCGUGUUUGGUUGAAUGGGAUGGGUCCGUCCUAAUUUUUUAUUUGGUUGGAGAGAUUGCAAUAGACGGGACAAGCACCGUUUUCUCCUUCUGUUAGACACCAUUUGUGGGGCUCACCUAUCAUACUAACGACCAUCUUCUUCCUCCUCCCCCGUUCUGCUCGUGGCACCGGUCUUAGGGCUUGCCCUUGCACCGCCCUAUGAGCUUGCGCCGUUGCGUCACCGGGGGGAGCUUGCCCCAGCCGCGCCGCCCAUGAAUCGGGUCCCACCAGCCUCGAGCUCCAUAGCGCCGCCUGCCGGAUCUCAGCUAGCGCCCGCCGGAUCUCAACUCGCGCGCGCCGGCCGCGGCGGAGCUCACCCGCACCAACGG